Molecule: ribosomal RNA, 465 nt
Filed under: uncultured bacterium
Lineage: Bacteria
Description: partial 16S ribosomal RNA
Rfam family: Bacterial small subunit ribosomal RNA
Source: RNAcentral
CCUACGGGAGGCAGCAGUGGGGAAUAUUGGUCAAUGGGCGCAAGCCUGAUCCAGCUAUUCCGCGUGUGGGAUGCCGGCCCUCGGAUUGUAACCCACUUUAGUAGCGAACGAAAAGGCACUAUCUCAUAAAUAACUCUACUGACGGUACUCGCAGAAUAAGCACCGGCUAACUACGUGCCAGCAGCCGCGGUAAUACGUAGGCUACGAGCGUUAAUCGGAAUUACUGGGCGUAAAGGGUGUGUAGGCGGUUGAGUAAGACAGAUGUGAAAUCCCCGGGCUUAACCUGGGAACCGCAUGUGUUACUGGUUGGCUAGAGUGCGUCAGAGGGAGGUGGAAUUCCAGGUGUAGCAGUGAAAUGCGUAGAUAUGGGGAAGAACACCGAUGGCGAAGGCAGCCUCCUGGGACGCAACUGACGCUCAUACACGAAAGCGUGGGGAGCAAACAGGAUUAGAUACCCGAGUAGUC